GACGAACGCUGGCGGCGCGCCUAACACAUGCAAGUCGAACGAGCGAGUGAGAGCUUGCUUUCCUGAGCGAGUGGCGGACGGGUGAGUAACGCGUGAGGAACCUGACUUAAAGAGGGGGACAACAGUUGGAAACGACUGCUAAUACCGCAUAAGCCCACGGCUAGGCAUCGAGCCGGGGGAAAAGGAGCAAUCCGCGUUGGGAUGGCACGGCAUCCGGUUAGCUAGUUGGUUAGGUAACGGCCCAACAAAGCGACGAUCGGUAGCCGGGCUGAGAGGUUGAGCCGCCACAUUGGGACUGAGACACGGCGCAGACUCCUGCGGGAGGCAGCAAUGGGUAAUAUUGCACAACGGGGGAGACCCUGAUGCAGCGCCGCCGCGAAGAGGAAUAAGGUGUGAAGAUUGUAAACUCCUGUUGUUGGGGAAGAUAAUGACGGUACCCAACAAGAAAGUGACGGCUAACUACGUG
Molecule: ribosomal RNA, 466 nt
Filed under: uncultured bacterium
Lineage: Bacteria
Description: partial 16S ribosomal RNA
Rfam family: Bacterial small subunit ribosomal RNA
Source: RNAcentral